RNA transcript from Cynara cardunculus var. scolymus (artichoke), 2203 nucleotides. It is a transcript of the gene named glucose-6-phosphate isomerase, cytosolic, with no coding region annotated. Lineage: Eukaryota; Viridiplantae; Streptophyta; Magnoliopsida; Asterales; Asteraceae. The record is from RefSeq and is a predicted model, not a curated record. The transcript is spliced from 24 exons.
AAUGGUCUGAUCCACGGCAUAUUCUUUCAAUUCUUACCACCGCCACCUGUUUCUAAUUUCUCAUCGUACUUAGAUACACUCUCUGCACAAACUCAUCAGAUUGCAAACAUAUUUUCCCCUUUUCACCAUUGUUCUUCGCAACCCUUCUUCAAUCAUCUCCAGAUGGCUACUCUAAUCUCUGACACUGCACCAUGGAAGGAUUUGAAGGCUCAUGUUGCGGAAAUUGACAAGACUCAUUUGCGUGAUUUGAUGACUGACACUGACCGAUGCAAGUCGAUGAUGCUUGAGUUUGAUGGAAUAUUCCUGGAUUACUCAAGACAGCGUACCACUGUUGAUACGGUGUCUAAGCUCUUUACACUUGCUGAGGCAGCAUGUCUCAAAGAAAAGAUUAAUAGUAUGUUCAAUGGGGAGCAUAUAAACAGCACGGAGAACAGGUCUGUGCUUCAUGUUGCUCUCCGUGCUUCAAAAGAUACAGUUAUAAACAGUGAUGGGAAGAAUGUGGUACCUGAUGUGUGGCAAGUUCUGGACAAAAUUCGAGAAUUCUCGGAUAAAGUUCGCAACGGUUCCUGGGUUGGAGCCACAGGGAAGGCAUUGACAAAUGUGAUUGCUAUUGGCAUUGGUGGAAGCUUCCUUGGUCCAUUGUUUGUGCACACCGCUCUUCAAACAGAUCCAGAGGCUAGUAAAUCUGCAGGAGGUCGCCAGCUCCGCUUUCUAGCAAAUGUUGAUCCAGUAGAUGUUGCCAGAAAUAUUUCAGGCUUCGAUCCUGAGACCACCUUAGUUGUUGUAGUUUCGAAGACUUUUACUACAGCUGAGACCAUGCUGAAUGCACGGACGUUGAGGGAAUGGAUCUCAUCUGCUUUGGGACCACAGGCUGUUUCAAAGCAUAUGGUUGCGGUUAGCACAAAUCUCAAGCUUGUGGAGAAGUUUGGGAUUGAUCCUAAUAAUGCUUUUGCAUUCUGGGACUGGGUAGGAGGUCGAUACAGUGUUUGCAGUGCUGUUGGAGUGUUACCUUUAUCUCUCCAAUACGGUUUCUCAGUCAUUGAGAAGUUCCUGAAAGGUGCUAGGAGUAUUGAUCAGCAUUUCCAGUCCACUCCUUUUGAGAAUAAUAUACCUGUUCUUUUAGGUCUGUUGAGCAUAUGGAAUGUUUCUUUUCUUGGAUAUCCUGCGAGAGCUAUCCUACCUUACACUCAAGCUCUUGAGAAGCUUGCUCCACACAUUCAACAGGUUAGCAUGGAGAGUAAUGGGAAAGGAGUAUCCAUAGAUGGUGUGCGUCUUCCUUUUGAAGCUGGUGAAAUUGAUUUUGGUGAACCAGGAACAAAUGGCCAACAUAGUUUUUACCAACUAAUUCAUCAGGGGCGUGUUAUUCCUUGCGACUUUAUUGGUAUUGUGAAGAGUCAGCAACCGGUCUACCUUAGAGAUGAAGUGGUGAAUAACCAUGAUGAGCUCAUGUCCAACUUUUUUGCACAGCCUGAUGCUCUUGCUUAUGGGAAGACCCCUGAACAAUUGCAAAGUGAGAAUGUUGCAUCUCAUCUUAUUCCUCACAAGACCUUUUCUGGGAAUAGGCCAUCUCUUAGCCUUCUACUUCCAUCAUUGGAUGCUUAUAGAACUGGGCAGAAGUUAGCAUAUAGCAUUACAAAAUCCKUCUCUCUUGUCUAUUCAGUUGCUAGCUAUCUACGAGCACAGAAUUGCUGUGGAGGGUUUCAUUUGGGGCAUCAAUUCUUUCGAUCAGUGGGGAGUUGAGUUAGGGAAGUCACUAGCAUCCCAUGUAAGAAAGCAGCUUCAUGCAUCCCGUAAGAAAGGAGAAUCGGUUGAGGGCUUCAAUUUCAGUACAACUAAGUUGCUAACAAGAUAUCUUGAGGCUAGUGCAGACGUGCCUUCAGAACCCACAACUCUUCUGCCCAAGAUAUAACUACUACUUAACGGUGGUGAAGUUGUCUACAACUAAACCAACUGAUAACACAUCGAUAGGACGCUUUAUAAUGUAUGACGCCAACAUUCUUGUCGUCCAGCGAGUUCUUUUGCAUUUUGCUUUUUUUGUAACUGCAUGACUCACAUUGUACGAGCAUAAUUCUUGCCAUUUUGAAGCGAUCCAAAGUAUCGGAAUAAUCGUCUUUCGUCUUUCUUUGUUGAAUAAAUAAUAUGCUAGUUGUGGGACAUAAAUUGGUGGUUGUUUCUCAAGAUUGUUUGGUGGAUCUCUUAAUCA